AAUACAGUUGCUGGGUGAUAUAAUAGUUGCAAAUUUAAUUUUUGAGAAAACUAUCACACUAUUCCAGAGUGAUUGUGCCAUUUCACAUUCCCACCAGCAGC
Molecule: microRNA precursor, 101 nt
Filed under: Marmota monax (woodchuck)
Lineage: Eukaryota; Metazoa; Chordata; Mammalia; Rodentia; Sciuridae
Source: RNAcentral